RNAcentral lists this small RNA (25 nucleotides) under Arabidopsis thaliana (thale cress). Its description in RNAcentral is "ATSL258030". Lineage: Eukaryota; Viridiplantae; Streptophyta; Magnoliopsida; Brassicales; Brassicaceae. The record is from RNAcentral.
AAAACACAAAAAAAAACAAACAAAA